AUUGAACGCUGGCGGCAUGCCUUACACAUGCAAGUCGAACGGCAGCACGGGUGCUUGCACCUGGUGGCGAGCGGCGAACGGGUGAGUAAUACAUCGGAAUGUACCUUGUAGUGGGGGAUAGCUCGGCGAAAGCCGGAUUAAUACCGCAUACGCUCUGAGGAGGAAAGCGGGGGACCUUCGGGCCUCGCGCUACAAGAGCAGCCGAUGUCAGAUUAGCUAGUUGGUGGGGUAAAAGCUCACCAAGGCGACGAUCUGUAGCUGGUCUGAGAGGACGACCAGCCACACUGGGACUGAGACACGGCCCAGACUCCUACGGGAGGCAGCAGUGGGGAAUUUUGGACAAUGGGCGAAAGCCUGAUCCAGCAAUGCCGCGUGUGUGAAGAAGGCCUUCGGGUUGUAAAGCACUUUUGUCCGGAAAGAAAUCCUUUGGGUUAAUACCUCGGGGGGAUGACGGUACCGGAAGAAUAAGCACCGGCUAACUACGUGCCAGCAGCCGCGGUAAUACGUAGGGUGCAAGCGUUAAUCGGAAUUACUGGGCGUAAAGCGUGCGCAGGCGGUUUUGUAAGACGGAUGUGAAAUCCCCGGGCUUAACCUGGGAACUGCAUUCGUGACUGCAAGGCUAGAGUAUGGCAGAGGGGGGUAGAAUUCCACGUGUAGCAGUGAAAUGCGUAGAGAUGUGGAGGAAUACCGAUGGCGAAGGCAGCCCCCUGGGCCAAUACUGACGCUCAUGCACGAAAGCGUGGGGGAGCAAACAGG
This 756-nucleotide ribosomal RNA is filed under the name uncultured Pandoraea sp. Its description in RNAcentral is "bacterial SSU rRNA". It matches the Rfam family "Bacterial small subunit ribosomal RNA", at positions 28 to 776 of the family's 1533-position model. The record is from RNAcentral. Lineage: Bacteria; Pseudomonadati; Pseudomonadota; Betaproteobacteria; Burkholderiales; Burkholderiaceae.